GAUAAACGCUGGCGGCGUGCCUAAUACAUGCAAGUCGUGCGGUAAGGCCCCUUCGGGGGUACACGAGCGGCGGACGGCAGAGUAACGCGUAGGAACGUACCCCAAAGUGAGGGAUAACUGCUCGAAAGAGUAGCUAAUACCGCAUAUGAUCUUCGGAUUAAAGCAGCAAUGCGCUUUGGGAACGGCCUGCGUCCGAUUAGCUAGUUGGUAGAGUAAUAGCCUACCAAGGCGACGAUCAGUAGCUGGUCUGAGAGGACGAUCAGCCACACUGGGACUGAGACACGGCCCAGACUCCUACGGGAGGCAGCAGUGGGGAAUAUUGGACAAUGGGCGCAAGCCUGAUCCAGCCAUGCCGCGUGAGUGAUGAAGGCCUUCGGGUUGUAAAGCUCUUUCGCACACGACGAUGAUGACGGUAGUGUGAGAAGAAGCCCCGGCUAACUUCGUGCCAGACGCCGCGGUAA
Molecule: ribosomal RNA, 461 nt
Filed under: uncultured bacterium
Lineage: Bacteria
Description: partial 16S ribosomal RNA
Rfam family: Bacterial small subunit ribosomal RNA
Source: RNAcentral